RNAcentral lists this unclassified non-coding RNA (331 nucleotides) under soil metagenome. RNAcentral describes it as "partial contains 5.8S ribosomal RNA, internal transcribed spacer 2, and large subunit ribosomal RNA". The stretch from base 1 to 120 matches the Rfam family "5.8S ribosomal RNA", at positions 35 to 154 of the family's 154-position model. The record is from RNAcentral.
GAUGAAGAACGUAGCGAAAUACGAUAAGUAAUGUGAAUUGCAGAAUUCCGUGAAUCAUCGAAUCUUUGAACGCACAUUGCGCCCUCUGGUAUUCCGGGGGGCAUGCCUGUCCGAGCGUCAUUUCACCACUCAAGCCUCGCUUGGUAUUGGGCAACGCGGUCCGCCGCGUGCCUCAAAUCGACCGGCUGGGUCUUCUGUCCCCUAAGCGUUGUGGAAACUAUUCGCUAAAGGGUGCUCGGGAGGCUACGCCGUAAAACAAACCCAUUUCUAAGGUUGACCUCGGAUCAGGUAGGGAUACCCGCUGAACUUAAGCAUAUCAAUAAGCGGAGGA